This 404-nucleotide long non-coding RNA is filed under the name Setaria italica (foxtail millet). Its description in RNAcentral is "long non-coding RNA (SITA_LNC000181)". The record is from RNAcentral. Lineage: Eukaryota; Viridiplantae; Streptophyta; Magnoliopsida; Poales; Poaceae.
CCAGCACAUCACCAUCAUACAGAGCUUUCAGGACGACUGGGACCUCCUUCAGGGCCUCAGGGCUGCACUUGCCACCGAAAGACUCGAUGGCCUGGACCAGCAGGGUCUGGGCACCCUCAUCAGGCACAGCAGCAGCAAGGUACUUCUUGUUCUUCACCACCUCUUUUGCAAAUCCCUUGCCCACACCAUCAAAGAGAGCAUCAAGAAGAGCAUUCAUCACGUCCUGGGGCGGGAGUGUUGAGGAUGCCAGCACAGCCUUGAGCUGUGUAGGUGUAGGAGCACUUCCCAAGCUAGCCUUGAUGUCUCCAACCAGUUCAUCAUAGGGGCUGGGCUUAAUGACAGCUGGCUCAGAGAUCUCUUGGGCUUUCGCAGAACCAUUAGCAGUGGUUUCUUUGUGGGUCGCC